UACGGGGGGAGCAAGCGUUGUUCGGAUUUACUGGGCGUAAAGGGCGCGUAGGCGGUCGUGACAAGUCACUUGUGAAAUCUCCGGGCUUAACUCGGAACGGUCAAGUGAUACUGUCGGACUAGAGUACAGAAGGGGCAACUGGAAUUCUCGGUGUAGCGGUGAAAUGCGUAGAUAUCGAGAGGAACACCUGCGGCGAAGGCGUGUUGCUGGGCUGAUACUGACGCUGAGGCGCGAAAGCCAGGGGAGCGAACGGG
This 254-nucleotide ribosomal RNA is filed under the name uncultured bacterium. Its description in RNAcentral is "partial 16S ribosomal RNA". It matches the Rfam family "Bacterial small subunit ribosomal RNA", at positions 524 to 776 of the family's 1533-position model. The record is from RNAcentral.